This is a non-coding RNA of Neolamprologus brichardi, 1845 nucleotides long. The record is from RefSeq and is a predicted model, not a curated record. Lineage: Eukaryota; Metazoa; Chordata; Actinopteri; Cichliformes; Cichlidae.
GUAGCCUGGUUUGUCUGUUUUCGUCAUUGGAGGUUAAUGAAUGAUGCGUUCUGAUGCUGCGUGUAUAUUAAGAUUCUCUUGUGCCAGCGGGAUAACUUUGUGUAUAACAGAGAUCACAUGACCUGCUGCUGUCUGCGUCUCUUACAGCUGUGGGCAUCCAGAUGAAACUGGAGUUUUUUCAGAAGAAAUUCUGGACGGCAAGCAGACAGUGUGCAGCAUUAGAUGGGAAGUGCUCCAUCAGCUGUGAUGAUGAGAAUAUUAACUGCUACUUAAUCGACAACAAUGGCUUCAUUCUGGUAGCAGAGGACUAUACUUUGGUGAGACAUGGAUGAAAGAGCGUGCACAGCCUCUUUUUGUCACAGUUAUACAUUUCAUUUGGAUUUCACUGCAAACAGAAAAUUGAAUCCAUCGUGCACCUGGUCAUCUCCACCCUGGAUGUGCGUCCCUGUGAAAAACCGUUGCUCAAAAAAAUUAAGGGAACACAUCAUGACAGCAUAACAGCACGUCAGUGAUACUUCAGGGCUAUCAGUCUGUGAAGAAGGAUUAACGACUGUGUAUCAGUUUUUAAAGGUUUUUACAGGCAGCAGCCGUGGAUCAUUGCUCCCACUAAUUCCUCUUAACGUGUCCUUGUCACUGUAGCAUGAGACCAAUAGUUAGUCCACAUUCUCCAGGAUGGCUCGUCCAUAUGUGCUGUCACACAGGUUUUACUGGCUCCCAGCACUCCCAGUUGUAUGGGGGGAUAUCAGGAGAUGGGCCAUUACACAAUAAGAGCUCGACAUCAACCCAGCAGCACGACCGUGAUCUGCUCCUCCGUGCGAGGAGGAACAGCAGCAGCUCUAAAAAUGACCUCCAGCAGGCCACUCGUGUGUUUCUGACCAAACAGUUUCAUUUGCACCAAAGCAGCUGAUAUUAAUUCAUACUUUAUGUUUCCUAACUGUAUCGAUAUCACUGGCAUUGAACUAACUUUGUAAUAUAUCGUAAUGAUCGAUUUUUUUGAGCAGUGUAAUUUUCUUUCUGCGUCUCACACAUGAUAUCGUCCCUUUGACUGCUCACAGUGAGACAUGCUGCUGCUCUCGCGUAGACUCGACCCUCUGCUUAGCUGUCACCAGACAUGCUGUCACUCCGACUCUGCCUCAUGCAGAAACCAGUCCGCUGGCUGUCACUGCCCUUGCCUUACCCUGCAUGUUCUUUUCAUGCGUAUCUCACUUGCAGGCUUCUGUGCUUUAUUGUAACUUAAUUUGGAUGUGGCAGAGCUUUCAGGCUACCAAAUGUCACCAUUUUUUAAUAACAGUAUUACAUGGUGACAAUGUAUUUGACUAAUAAGGUAACAAUGUGAAUUAUAAAAUGUUGCAUUGAAUGUGUGAACAGCUUAUUUUGUUACUAGGCAGAGGUUAUAUAGGCUGAGUCACAUUUUCUGCCCCACAGAGUCGAGAAAAUUAGAAUAAGGAAGAAUGAUGGUGAGAAUAUAUCACAGUACUCUUUAGCAAGCAAAUGCCAUAUUUUUGUGUAGAUCAAGGAAUCCAAUACUUUCAGGACUGAGAAACAUUCAGUAGUAAAAGAGUUUAAAACACAUAAAAUAAGAAAAUAUGUUAGAUGCAGUUUUUCUGAAAUCCCGGGCAGAAGGUUUUGCAAGGAGCGAGUGCGUAGCGUUCAAAAAUGCUAGCUCAGGGCGUAAAUCUCUUCCGUGUUACGAGACAUAUACACCAGCCUGUGUUCACCAAUACACGGAUUCAUGACAGAGUUGGCUGCAUAAAGAACAUGUGACUCCAGCAAAAGUGCCGCCUGGCAGUUUGUCAGUGUCAGAGGAAAGCUGCUCCUCACCACGGACUAAUCCAUACCAGCCUU